UACGUAGGGGGCAAGCGUUAUCCGGAUUUACUGGGUGUAAAGGGAGCGUAGACGGCAGUGCAAGUCUGAAGUGAAAGGCGGGGGCCCAACCCCCGGACUGCUUUGGAAACUGUGCUGCUGGAGUGCAGGAGAGGCAAGUGGAAUUCCUAGUGUAGCGGUGAAAUGCGUAGAUAUUAGGAGGAACACCAGUGGCGAAGGCAGCUUACCAGACUGCGACUGACGCUGAAGCACGAGAGCGUGGGUAGCGAACAGG
RNAcentral lists this ribosomal RNA (253 nucleotides) under uncultured Eubacteriales bacterium. Its description in RNAcentral is "uncultured Clostridiales bacterium partial 16S ribosomal RNA". It matches the Rfam family "Bacterial small subunit ribosomal RNA", at positions 524 to 776 of the family's 1533-position model. The record is from RNAcentral. Lineage: Bacteria; Bacillati; Bacillota; Clostridia; Eubacteriales.